Molecule: ribosomal RNA, 425 nt
Filed under: uncultured bacterium
Lineage: Bacteria
Description: partial 16S ribosomal RNA
Rfam family: Bacterial small subunit ribosomal RNA
Source: RNAcentral
GUGGGGAAUCUUGUGCAAUGGGCGAAAGCCUGACGCAGCCAUGCCGCGUGGAUGAUGAAGGUCUUAGGAUUGUAAAAUCCUUUCACCGGUGAAGAUAAUGACUGUAGCCGGAGAAGAAGCCCCGGCUAACUUCGUGCCAGCAGCCGCGGUAAUACGAAGGGGGCUAGCGUUGCUCGGAUUUACUGGGCGUAAAGGGCGCGUAGGCGGACAUUUAAGUCAGGGGUGAAAUCCCGGGGCUCAACCUCGGAACUGCCUUUGAUACUGGGUGUCUUGAGUAUGAGAGAGGUGUGUGGAACUCCGAGUGUAGAGGUGAAAUUCGUAGAUAUUCGGAAGAACACCAGUGGCGAAGGCGACUCACUGGCUCAUUACUGACGCUGAGGCUCGAAAGCGUGGGGAGCAAACAGGAUUAGAUACCCCGGUAGUCC